CGUUAGAGCAUUGAGAGGACCUUUCCCUAGUACGAGAGGACCGGGAAGGACGCACCUCUUGUGUACCAAUUAUCGUGCCCACGAUAAACGCUGGGUAGCGAAGUGCGGAGCGAAUAACUGCUGAAAGCAUCUAAGUAGUAAGCCCACCCCAAGAUGAGUGAUCUCCUAUUCCAACUUCCCCAGAGCCUUCAGUAGCACAGUUGAGACAACGACGGGUUCUCUGCCCCUGCGGGAUGGAGCGAUAGAAGUUUUGAGAAUUCAAGAGAAGGUCACCGUGAGACGAGCCGUUUAUCAUAAUGAUAGGUGUCAAGUGGAAGUGAAGUGAUGUAUGCAGCUGAGGCAUCCUAACAGACCAG
RNAcentral lists this long non-coding RNA (356 nucleotides) under Helianthus annuus (common sunflower). RNAcentral describes it as "Bacterial large subunit ribosomal RNA". It matches the Rfam family "Bacterial large subunit ribosomal RNA", at positions 2652 to 2912 of the family's 2925-position model. The record is from RNAcentral. Lineage: Eukaryota; Viridiplantae; Streptophyta; Magnoliopsida; Asterales; Asteraceae.